This 685-nucleotide long non-coding RNA is filed under the name Apteryx owenii (little spotted kiwi). RNAcentral's name for it is "lncRNA (ENSAOWG00000003966.1)". Lineage: Eukaryota; Metazoa; Chordata; Aves; Apterygiformes; Apterygidae. The record is from RNAcentral.
CCCCAGACUAGCAAAGCACUGAGGGAACCAGAGAUUGUGUUGGUACUAUUUUAACUGGACCCUUGCUCCCAGCAUGGCUUCAGUCACGUUGGGUAGAAGUUUCUCAUCACCCCAGGCUGCUGAGUAGCUGUUAGCAUUGGAUUUGGCCACUGUGGGACCUGUGCACCUGCCCAGCAAGGAUACCUACGCAGAGCCAGCCCGUGCUUCUGUCUGCACCAUCCUCACAUUGGUCUUCCACAGGAGGAAGAAGCUCAGACACCUGCAGUGAAGGCAGGAAGGUGGCGGGCAGGGAAGUCUUGGGCUUGUAGUCCGGCUUGGGUGUGAGCCUACAACAGAGGUAAACUAAACCAAGGAGAACACCUGACUUCUUCAAACAUUUCUUUUCUUUUCUUUUUUUUUUUUAAAUCAUGAAAGGGGAAAACUGGGCCAGAGGGAAAAGAUGGGACUGAAUGAUUCAUGCAGUGAGUCAGUGGCAGAGGGAGGAAGCCAAGUCACAUCCUUCUGGGGAAGAUGGCUCUCCCUCACGUGCUCUCCUGACCCCUGUACCCCUCUCCUGCCACCAGGGAGAAAGCUGCUGAGUCCUGGGCCAAGGGAGGAGCAGCACCAUCCCUCCGGACACCCACGCUUACCACAGGAGGUUGGUGCGGAAGAGCUGAGCCUCCCAGUCGGUGGCGUUGACCUCUAG